Molecule: long non-coding RNA, 345 nt
Organism: Thrips palmi
Lineage: Eukaryota; Metazoa; Arthropoda; Insecta; Thysanoptera; Thripidae
Exons: 4
Source: RefSeq, a predicted model, not a curated record
CCAGCGCCCCAGCGCCCCGGCCACGCGUCGUCGGGUGCACUUGAGCGUGCGCGUGUCUGCGCGCGUGCGUGUGUGUGUGCGAACAGUGCGCCUGUGUGAGUGAGCCCAUUAUUGGUCGUUGACUCUAGUGCAGUUACUUGCGGGCGAGUCGCCGCGGGGCGCGCUGGCGCAGCUGCGUCGCGGACUUCGUGGACGCCAAGGGUUGGCGGCCUGCUGUCCAGUGGCGUAGACGAAGCCGGCCGAUCCGCGUGAACUCGCCUGACUUCGCGGUUUCAAUGCAAUAGGGCGAGGCGGACUGCACCGCGCCGUCCUCGCGUCUGCCGCCCGCCGAAUCCACAAGUGAGG